GGACUCCAUGGGAGUGAGGGCGGCAGGGCCCGCUUCCCAGGAAGAAAGGCAGACAAUAUCUCUGCUUUUAAACACAAACAAGCGCACAGUUGUGAGUCACAAAUUACUCCGUCUCUGCAGGAGGUCCAUCCUGAGAUUUGUUUGGGCCUCUGCAGGAGAAUUGGCUCCAUUUUCACUUAGAUUACAGAAAAGCUAAGGCCAACCAGGAGCAGGGAGGAAGCUGUCACGUGGCGUGGCGUCUUGCAGAGCGCGAGCUGCCAGUCACAGCCCUGGUGAAGGACCGGGUGGGACAGAAACCUCAGACAACACUAACCCACUGCGCUCACAAAACUACGAUAACCCUGGGGUGGAAGAGGACGACAGAGGAAUGAUUUUAAGUCUCAGAACUAGCCAGCACUCUCAGGAGAAUAAGGAAAUGUGUAAGACAGUGGAUUUUUGCAAAACCACGACCUUAUCUCUUUCCCAACGUCAUUGCUACAAGUGUAAGUUUCCGUGAUUUUGUGUGUGCCAGUCAUGACUCGGCUCUGCAGGUACCCUACCCUCUGCUAAAAUAUAUCACAGAACUAAAGGAACCAAACCAAAGUGGAGCUUGUUAUACAGUGAUGACAGCCACCCCAGAAACAUCCCAACACGGCAACCUAACCCAUGGCUUUUACGAAAGGCUUCCCAGGGAGAAAACAUCCCACAUAGGCUACUGACACAAUCUACUGCCGAGAGAGGAAACACAGUCUUGAUGUUCCCUUCCAGAUGUGACUUCUGUGUCACAUGACUCUGCUCCACCCUUGUGACCUUAAAGCGGGCAUCUGCCAAAGGUCUACAAAGAUCCUGAGGCCUAGGGUUCCGGUUUCCCCUGGAUACCCAUAACCCAGCAAGAACGUCCUCUACUCCACAGACUGUCACCUCCUUAGGAGUUCCCAGGGUUCAGUGGAAGGUGGAUCAUAGAACCACAGUAUGUUUUAAUGUAUGUAUGU
Molecule: long non-coding RNA, 971 nt
Organism: Arvicola amphibius (Eurasian water vole)
Lineage: Eukaryota; Metazoa; Chordata; Mammalia; Rodentia; Cricetidae
Exons: 3
Source: RefSeq, a predicted model, not a curated record